This 1287-nucleotide ribosomal RNA is filed under the name Triticum aestivum (bread wheat). RNAcentral's name for it is "partial small subunit ribosomal RNA". The record is from RNAcentral. Lineage: Eukaryota; Viridiplantae; Streptophyta; Magnoliopsida; Poales; Poaceae.
AUGGCCACCACCGUCACGCUGCUGCUCGGGGCAGCCUCGUCCCCCGGCCCCGCCGCCGGUGAUGGCGCCGCGCGGGACGGCUUCCAGUGCUCCCGCCUGCUACCCAAGAAGAAACAGCAGAGGCCGCGCUGGGUGCUCUGCUCGCUCAAGUACGGCUGCCUCGGCGUCGGCGAGCCGGGGGAGGCGGGCGGCCGGAGCGCGGCGUCGCCGGUGUACUCCAGCCUCACCGUCAGCCCCGGAGGCGACGCCGCCGUCGCCGUCGUCUCGUCGGAGCAGAAGGUGUACGACGUGGUGGUGAAGCAGGCGGCAUUGCUCAAGCGCCAGCUGCGCCCCUCGCAGCAACAGCAGCAGGCGCCGCCAGCCGUCGCCAGGGAGCUGGACGCGCCGCGCGGCGGGCUCGGGGAGGCCUACGCCCGCUGCGGCGAGAUCUGCGAGGAGUACGCCAAGACCUUCUACCUCGGGACCUUGCUGAUGACCGAGGAGCGGCGGCGCGCCAUAUGGGCCAUCUACGUAUGGUGCAGGAGGACAGACGAGCUGGUGGACGGUCCCAACGCGUCGCACAUCACGCCGCAGGCGCUGGACCGGUGGGAGAGGAGGCUGGAGGACCUCUUCGCCGGGCGCCCCUACGACAUGCUCGACGCCGCGCUCUCUGACACCAUCACCAAGUUCCCCAUAGAUAUUCAGCCCUUCAAGGACAUGAUCGACGGGAUGCGGACGGACCUCAAGAAGGCGAGGUACAAGAACUUUGACGAGCUCUACAUGUACUGCUACUAUGUUGCCGGCACCGUGGGGUUGAUGAGCGUCCCGGUGAUGGGCAUUGCGCCCGACUCCAAGGCGACAGCUGAGAGCGUCUAUGGCGCCGCUCUGGCUCUCGGGCUCGCGAACCAGCUCACCAACAUACUCAGGGAUGUCGGAGAAGAUGCAAGAAGAGGAAGGAUAUAUUUGCCGCAAGACGAGCUUGCGGAGGCAGGGCUCUCCGAUGAAGACAUCUUCAAAGGAGUCGUCACCGACAAGUGGAGAAAAUUCAUGAAGAGGCAGAUCAAGAGGGCGAGGAUGUUCUUCGAGGAGGCGGAGCGAGGGGUGACUGAGCUUAGGAAGGAGAGCCGGUGGCCGGUUUGGGCCUCUCUGUUGUUGUACCGGCAGAUCCUUGACGAGAUCGAAGCGAAUGACUACAACAACUUCACCAAGAGGGCCUAUGUUGGGAAGGCGAAAAAGGUGCUUGCGCUCCCUGUCGCGUACGGGAGAUCGCUGCUCUUACCGUAUUCACUGAGAAAUAACCAGACCUAG